This 1239-nucleotide ribosomal RNA is filed under the name human gut metagenome. RNAcentral describes it as "bacterial SSU rRNA". It matches the Rfam family "Bacterial small subunit ribosomal RNA", at positions 8 to 1275 of the family's 1533-position model. The record is from RNAcentral.
AGAGUUCGAUCCUGGCUCAGGAUGAACGCUGGCGGCGCGCCUAACACAUGCAAGUCGAACGGCACCCCUCUCCGGAGGGAAGCGAGUGGCGAACGGCUGAGUAACACGUGGAGAACCUGCCCCCUCCCCCGGGAUAGCCGCCCGAAAGGACGGGUAAUACCGGAUACCCCGGGGUGCCGCAUGGCGCCCCGGCUAAAGCCCCGACGGGAGGGGAUGGCUCCGCGGCCCAUCAGGUAGACGGCGGGGUGACGGCCCACCGUGCCGACAACGGGUAGCCGGGUUGAGAGACCGACCGGCCAGAUUGGGACUGAGACACGGCCCAGACUCCUACGGGAGGCAGCAGUGGGGAAUCUUGCGCAAUGGGGGGAACCCUGACGCAGCGACGCCGCGUGCGGGACGGAGGCCUUCGGGUCGUAAACCGCUUUCAGCAGGGAAGAGUCAAGACUGUACCUGCAGAAGAAGCCCCGGCUAACUACGUGCCAGCAGCCGCGGUAAUACGUAGGGGGCGAGCGUUAUCCGGAUUCAUUGGGCGUAAAGCGCGCGUAGGCGGCCCGGCAGGCCGGGGGUCGAAGCGGGGGGCUCAACCCCCCGAAGCCCCCGGAACCUCCGCGGCUUGGGUCCGGUAGGGGAGGGUGGAACACCCGGUGUAGCGGUGGAAUGCGCAGAUAUCGGGUGGAACACCGGUGGCGAAGGCGGCCCUCUGGGCCGAGACCGACGCUGAGGCGCGAAAGCUGGGGGAGCGAACAGGAUUAGAUACCCUGGUAGUCCCAGCCGUAAACGAUGGACGCUAGGUGUGGGGGGACGAUCCCCCCGUGCCGCAGCCAACGCAUUAAGCGUCCCGCCUGGGGAGUACGGCCGCAAGGCUAAAACUCAAAGGAAUUGACGGGGGCCCGCACAAGCAGCGGAGCAUGUGGCUUAAUUCGAAGCAACGCGAAGAACCUUACCAGGGCUUGACAUAUGGGUGAAGCGGGGGAGACCCCGUGGCCGAGAGGAGCCCAUACAGGUGGUGCAUGGCUGUCGUCAGCUCGUGUCGUGAGGUGUUGGGUUAAGUCCCGCAACGAGCGCAACCCCCGCCGCGUGUUGCCAGCAUUCAGUUGGGCACUCACGCGGGACUGCCGGCGUCAAGCCGGAGGAAGGCGGGGACGACGUCAAGUCAUCAUGCCCCUUAUGCCCUGGGCUGCACACGUGCUACAAUGGCCGGCACAACGGGUUGCCACCCCGCGAGGGGGAGCGGAUCCC